This 433-nucleotide ribosomal RNA is filed under the name uncultured bacterium. Its description in RNAcentral is "partial 16S ribosomal RNA". It matches the Rfam family "Bacterial small subunit ribosomal RNA", at positions 29 to 507 of the family's 1533-position model. The record is from RNAcentral.
AAUGAACGCUGGCGGCAUGCCUAACACAUGCAAGUCGAACGAAGGCUUCGGCCUUAGUGGCGCACGGGUGCGUAACGCGUGGGAAUCUGCCCUUGGGUUCGGAAUAACAGUUAGAAAUGACUGCUAAUACCGGAUGAUGUCGUAAGACAAAAGAUUUAUCGCCCAAGGAUGAGCCCGCGUAGGAUUAGCUAGUUGGUGGGGUAAAGGCCUACCAAGGCGACGAUCCUUAGCUGGUCUGAGAGGAUGAUCAGCCACACUGGGACUGAGACACGGCCCAGACUCCUACGGGAGGCAGCAGUGGGGAAUAUUGGACAAUGGGCGAAAGCCUGAUCCAGCAAUGCCGCGUGAGUGAUGAAGGCCUUAGGGUUGUAAAGCUCUUUUACCCGGGAUGAUAAUGACAGUACCGAGAGAAUAAGCUCCGGCUAACUUCGUG